Molecule: long non-coding RNA, 373 nt
Filed under: Mytilus galloprovincialis (Mediterranean mussel)
Lineage: Eukaryota; Metazoa; Mollusca; Bivalvia; Mytilida; Mytilidae
Source: RNAcentral
AAUUUUAUGAUAUACUAGUAUGUAGAUAUAGGAAGAUGUGGUGUGAGUGCCAAUGAGACAUGCAACUCUCCAUCCAAAUAACAAUUUAUAAAAAGGUAAACCAUUGUAGGUCAAUGUACGGUCUUCAACACGGAGCCUUGGUUCACACCGAACAACAAGGUAUAAAGGGCCUCAAAAUUACUAGUGUAAAAAACAAUAGCAUAACAUCACAACAUAGAAAAACACACGUUAAAAUAUCAAUUGGCAGACUUAACUCAAUCAAAAAACAUAAAUUAAUACACAUAUGUAGCUGUUUUCCUAAGAACUGUUAAUAAUAUAUGCAUAAAAAGAAAUGUCAUAAGAUGUUGGAACGUUUCGUAAAUAAUUCAUCGAC